CGAGCGGCGGACGGGUGAGUAAUGUCUAGGGAAACUGCCUGAUGGAGGGGGAUAACUACUGGAAACGGUAGCUAAUACCGCAUAACGUCGCAAGACAAAGAGGGGGACCUUCGGGCCUCUUGCCAUCAGAUGUGCCCAGAUGGGAUUAGCUAGUAGGUGGGGUAACGGCUCACCUAGGCGACGAUCCCUAGCUGGUCUGAGGGGAUGACCAGCACACUGGGACUGAGACACGGCCAGACUCCUACGGGAGGCAGCAGUGGGGAAUUUUGGACAAUGGGCGAAAGCCUGAUCCAGCAAUGCCGCGUGCAGGAUGAAGGCCUUCGGGUUGUAAACUGCUUUUGUACGGAACGAAAAAGCUUCUCCUAAUACGAGAGGCCCAUGACGGUACCGUAAGAAUAAGCACCGGUAACUACGGUGCCAGCAGCCGCGGUAAAUAACGUAGGGUGCGAGCGUAACUCGGGAAUUCACCUGGGCCGUCAAAGCCGUGCGCAAGGCGGUCCAAUGGUAAGAACANGAUGUUGAAAAUCCCCCGGGGCUCAACCUGGGGGGAACACUGGCCAUACGGGGGCUCGGCCCUGGGCCACAAAGUUAACACCGGGG
RNAcentral lists this ribosomal RNA (600 nucleotides) under uncultured bacterium. RNAcentral describes it as "bacterial SSU rRNA". The stretch from base 1 to 458 matches the Rfam family "Bacterial small subunit ribosomal RNA", at positions 92 to 546 of the family's 1533-position model. The record is from RNAcentral.